This 1203-nucleotide ribosomal RNA is filed under the name Leuconostoc carnosum. Its description in RNAcentral is "bacterial SSU rRNA". It matches the Rfam family "Bacterial small subunit ribosomal RNA", at positions 269 to 1463 of the family's 1533-position model. The record is from RNAcentral. Lineage: Bacteria; Bacillati; Bacillota; Bacilli; Lactobacillales; Lactobacillaceae.
CCAGACAAUGAUGCAUAGCCGAGUUGAGAGACUGAUCGGCCACAUUGGGACUGAGACACGGCCCAAACUCCUACGGGAGGCUGCAGUAGGGAAUCUUCCACAAUGGGCGAAAGCCUGAUGGAGCAACGCCGCGUGUGUGAUGAAGGCUUUCGGGUCGUAAAGCACUGUUGUAUGGGAAGAAAAGUUAAGGUAGGGAAUGACCUUAGCCUGACGGUACCAUACCAGAAAGGGACGGCUAAAUACGUGCCAGCAGCCGCGGUAAUACGUAUGUCCCGAGCGUUAUCCGGAUUUAUUGGGCGUAAAGCGAGCGCAGACGGUUGGUUAAGUCUGAUGUGAAAGCCCGGAGCUCAACUCCGGAAAGGCAUUGGAAACUGGUUAACUUGAGUGCAGUAGAGGUAAGUGGAACUCCAUGUGUAGCGGUGGAAUGCGUAGAUAUAUGGAAGAACACCAGCGGCGAAGGCGGCUUACUGGACUGUAACUGACGUUGAGGCUCGAAAGUGUGGGUAGCAAACAGGAUUAGAUACCCUGGUAGUCCACACCGUAAACGAUGAACACUAGGUGUUAGGAGGUUUCCGCCUCUUAGUGCCGAAGCUAACGCAUUAAGUGUUCCGCCUGGGGAGUACGACCGCAAGGUUGAAACUCAAAGGAAUUGACGGGGACCCGCACAAGCGGUGGAGCAUGUGGUUUAAUUCGAAGCAACGCGAAGAACCUUACCAGGUCUUGACAUCCUUUGAAGCUUUUAGAAAUAGAAGUGUUCUCUUCGGAGACAAAGUGACAGGUGGUGCAUGGUCGUCGUCAGCUCGUGUCGUGAGAUGUUGGGUUAAGUCCCGCAACGAGCGCAACCCUUAUUGUUAGUUGCCAGCAUUCAGAUGGGCACUCUAGCGAGACUGCCGGUGACAAACCGGAGGAAGGCGGGGACGACGUCAGAUCAUCAUGCCCCUUAUGACCUGGGCUACACACGUGCUACAAUGGCGUAUACAACGAGUUGCCAACCUGCGAAGGUGAGCUAAUCUCUUAAAGUACGUCUCAGUUCGGACUGCAGUCUGCAACUCGACUGCACGAAGUCGGAAUCGCUAGUAAUCGCGGAUCAGCACGCCGCGGUGAAUACGUUCCCGGGUCUUGUACACACCGCCCGUCACACCAUGGAAGUUUGUAAUGCCCAAAGCCGGUGGCCUAACCGUAAGGAGGGAACCGUUCUAAGGC